UACGUAGGGUGCGAGCGUUGUCCGGAAUUACUGGGCGUAAAGAGCUUGUAGGUGGUUUGUCGCGUUGUUCGUGAAAUCUCACGGCUUAACUGUGAGCGUGCGGGCGAUACGGGCAGACUAGAGUACUGCAGGGGAGACUGGAAUUCCUGGUGUAGCGGUGGAAUGCGCAGAUAUCAGGAGGAACACCGGUGGCGAAGGCGGGUCUCUGGGCCGAUACUGACGCUGAGGCACGAAGGCCAGGGGAGCAAACGGG
Molecule: ribosomal RNA, 253 nt
Filed under: uncultured bacterium
Lineage: Bacteria
Description: partial 16S ribosomal RNA
Rfam family: Bacterial small subunit ribosomal RNA
Source: RNAcentral